Molecule: microRNA precursor, 102 nt
Filed under: Marmota monax (woodchuck)
Lineage: Eukaryota; Metazoa; Chordata; Mammalia; Rodentia; Sciuridae
Source: RNAcentral
AUGUGGAUCACCUGGUGUCUUGUUGAAAUACGAAUCUGAUUCAGUGGACCUGGGAUGGAGCCUGGAAUUCUGCAUUUCUGCAAGCUUUCAGGUGAUGGGAAU